UGAGCAUUGCAUUAGUACCAAGUCUAACGGCUAGUUUCCCAGGAGCCCCCCGUGACCCCUUUAGUACUGGUUGGAGCCCCCAACUGGUACUAACUUCCCUCCUAUAAAUAAGGUGUAUUCUUCCUCCUGCCUGAGCCAUUUCCUCCAGGUUGGGCUUCAUCCAUUCAUGGUGAAAUAGGGGAGGAGCUGCCGGAUUUUUGACCAUUUCAUGGGGAUUUCACUCCUUCAAGUGUUCUAAAGGUUAUAAACUUCAUCCUCCCU
Molecule: long non-coding RNA, 261 nt
Filed under: Setaria viridis
Lineage: Eukaryota; Viridiplantae; Streptophyta; Magnoliopsida; Poales; Poaceae
Description: long non-coding RNA (SVIR_LNC003065)
Source: RNAcentral